AGCAUGAGAGUUGAGAGGGUAAGCUCUCGGCGAAUUGCUCAGUAACACGCGGUAUAACCUGCCCUUGGGUCCGGGAUAACCCCGGGAAACUGGGACUAAUACCGGAUAGAUCAAAGAUACCGGAAUGUUCCUUGGUCCAAAACUCCGGUGCCCAAGGAUGGGUCUGCGGCCUAUCAGGUUGUAGUGGGUGUAACGUACCUACUAGCCUACGACGGGUAAGGGUUGUGAGAGCAAGAGCCCUGAGAUGGAUUCUGAAACAUGAAUCCAGGCCCUACGGGGUGCAGCAGGCGCGAAAACUUUACACUGCUAGAAAUAGCGAUAAGGGGACCCCGAGUGCCAGUACCUAGUACUGGCUGUCCCGCUGUCUAAACAACAGUGGUUAGC
Molecule: ribosomal RNA, 384 nt
Filed under: uncultured methanogenic archaeon
Lineage: Archaea; Methanobacteriati; Methanobacteriota
Description: bacterial SSU rRNA
Rfam family: Archaeal small subunit ribosomal RNA
Source: RNAcentral